Molecule: ribosomal RNA, 250 nt
Filed under: uncultured bacterium
Lineage: Bacteria
Description: partial 16S ribosomal RNA
Rfam family: Bacterial small subunit ribosomal RNA
Source: RNAcentral
CGAGACAGCGAUGUUAAGCGAAGCCCCAAAAAGACCGUCCCAGUUCGGAUUGCAGCCUGCAACUCGGCUGCAUGAAGCCGGAAUCGCUAGUAAUCGCGGAUCAGAACGCCGCGGUGAAUACGUUCCCGGGUCUUGUACACACCGCCCGUCACACCAUGGGAGUCGGGAAUGCCCGAAGUCGGUGAGCCAACGAAAGGGGCAGCCGCCGAAGGCAGGCCCGGUAACUGGGGUGAAGUCGUAACAAGGUACC